This 28-nucleotide non-coding RNA is filed under the name Rattus norvegicus (Norway rat). Lineage: Eukaryota; Metazoa; Chordata; Mammalia; Rodentia; Muridae. The record is from RNAcentral.
UGAUAAUUUAAAAAGAAGAUGUGUACAG